GUGGGGAAUAUUGGACAAUGGGCGAAACCCUGAUCUAGCCAUGCCGCGUGAGCGAUGAAGGCCUUAGGGUUGUAAAGCUCUUUCAGAUGGGAAGAUAAUGACGGUACCAUCAGAAGAAGCCCCGGCUAACUCCGUGCCAGCAGCCGCGGUAAUACGGAGGGGGCUAGCGUUGUUCGGAAUUACUGGGCGUAAAGCGCACGUAGGCGGACCAGAAAGUCAGAGGUGAAAUCCCAGGGCUCAACCUUGGAACUGCCUUUGAAACUCCUGAUCUUGAGGUCGAGAGAGGUGAGUGGAAUUCCGAGUGUAGAGGUGAAAUUCGUAGAUAUUCGGAGGAACACCAGUGGCGAAGGCGGCUCACUGGCUCGAUACUGACGCUGAGGUGCGAAAGCGUGGGGAGCAAACAGGAUUAGAAACCCCAGUAGUCC
This 425-nucleotide ribosomal RNA is filed under the name uncultured bacterium. RNAcentral describes it as "partial 16S ribosomal RNA". It matches the Rfam family "Bacterial small subunit ribosomal RNA", at positions 354 to 796 of the family's 1533-position model. The record is from RNAcentral.